ACUGGUCUCUUGAAUGGCAUUCGUCUGUAUCAUUUAGAUUGAUCUCGCUUUAGUCUCGUAUAUAUCAAUCACGCCUCUUGAGCAGAGUAUAGACAACUAUACUGUCUAUCCUAAGAAUAAUAAACCUCUGACUGGACGUGAUUUAUUGUUGAUGAACAGAAGAGAGCUUGAUCAUUAGGAUUGAUUUUCUUUUUCUCUCUUCUUUAGGGUUAUCCCGCAUCAAUUUGGUUUCAGAGUCGGUUGAUUAGGUGAGGAUGAAGUCCAUCGAAGAACCUCGCUCCAGAGCAUUGGAGAUGCGAGCACCUGAGACAAUGUCUCC
RNAcentral lists this long non-coding RNA (319 nucleotides) under Elaeis guineensis (African oil palm). RNAcentral's name for it is "long non-coding RNA (EGUI_LNC019714)". Lineage: Eukaryota; Viridiplantae; Streptophyta; Magnoliopsida; Arecales; Arecaceae. The record is from RNAcentral.